This is a long non-coding RNA of Biomphalaria glabrata, 2810 nucleotides long. RefSeq lists it as uncharacterized. NCBI's taxonomy places the organism in Eukaryota, Metazoa, Mollusca, Gastropoda, Planorbidae. The record is from RefSeq and is a predicted model, not a curated record. The transcript has 5 exons.
AAUUCUUGCCUAGCCUCAACCAUGGAACUAUACUAAUGGAACAACAGCUCCUAGUUUUUACUAGGGGAGUGCCGUCGCGCAUCAUUUUCACGCAUGGUGCAAUAUGGAGAAAUUCAGGAGGAUGCAAAAGAAGAAAUUUACUCCUCCAGUCACUUGGACUGACCUUCAAUGAGAGUAAAACUUUCCUACGCUUUAUUUUAUUAGAUCUCUAAAAACUUCAUCCAUUUUCUCACAAUGUUUUGUGAUUUAUAAAAUUUUCCUGAAUAAGGGAUCGUCACAAAAGUUAUUUUUUUAAGGCCACCCCAUUAAAAUAGCUGUUUUCAGUACUUUCACAUUUGGGUAUUUUACACAAAAUCUGGAUAUUUUUUUAUGUACAUUAAAUCAUUAUCAUCUGUCCCGCGUAACUAAAUCCUCCACUUUUCCCGGUCACCAAUGUUCUUAACAAGAGAGAGAGGCUGGUCCAUUAUUUGCGUAGUCCAGCCAGCUUUUCUUCUGACAAACCAUUUUUCGUUUAUUCUCUUAAAGGAUAUUUUUUUAAAAGUUAGUCUUACAAAAUACAAUUCCAAACCAACUCAUGCAGUUAUCGUCUUUUCACAGUAGGAGGAGUCAUCCUUUUUGCCAGCCAGAGUGUUAAUUGGCAAAAGUAAAAAAUUCAUUAUUUUAAUUUUUUUAGUAAAUAUUCACAACUAUAUCUUUUAUAUAAUAAUAUAUUUUUUUAAUAAUAAUAUCUUUUAUAUAGACAUGCUUUAAUAUAUCUAAUAAAUGAUUAACGCGGCCCUACCAAUAUGGGUAUAUUAAUACUUAAAUCUGGGUAUUUUAAAUUUCGAAUGCGCAUUUUUAAAAAACCGAACUUAUCUAUAGAUCUCUUAUAUCUAGAAUAAUCUAGAUCUACAACACCCAGACUUAGACUAUGGUUCUAGAUCUAUUUAAAAGAUAUUUUUUUAAAAAUAACUCAACAGAUCUAAUAAAGUCAUGAUUUCCACUCUAUUUUCUCUAGAUCUAGACCAUACAUGAGAUCUAAAUCUAGACUUCACUUUCACAUCACAUGAUUAUUGAUACAGACAGUGAAUGAAACGAAUGCAGUGAUUAUAUUUAAUAUAUUAUAGUUUAUACUGACUUAUAGCUCUACCAGUUGAUUAUCAUCAUCAUCAUCUGAGGUCAUCUCGAAUAAUAAUCUAGACUAUUAUUAACAAGUAGAACCAUGCCAACCAGUUCUGAUGAUGUACCAGAAUGGCUCAAGGAUCAUACUUAUACUAUUUCUACUCUCUGGGCAGACAUUAAUAAUAUUAGCAUCCAUUCAAUAUUUAUUUUAUGUUUGGAAAUGCAAGAAAAAGGCAUGCAUUCCUGACAAGUCAAUGAUUGGUUGCACCUCUUAAAGAUAACUUUCUGUUAUGAGAAAAGAUGAGAUUCUUGGACUCCUGCAUAGCACCACCAGAAAGGAAAAUCCCAUCAUGUUGCAAAAUAAAAGUCUUGGACCAAUUUUAAUUUAAGAUAUAUAUAUUAUACUGUAAGCUCUAUACAUAUUUAUGUAUAUCCUGUCAUUCAGCCAACAGGUUUGGAUUUAGUAUUUCUUUAAAUCUGUUUGAUAUUGUACUUGAAAACUAUUAAUCUGAGCCCCAUUAAAACAAUAGGGAGUGCAGUGAAUGAGUGGUAAAGCACUUGGCUUCUGAACUGAGGGUUCCUGGGUUCAAUUAAGACUGGGAUUUUCAAUUUCAGAAUUCAUAAGGCUAGGGAUACAUGGCAAUAGUAAGGAAUAAGUAAAGGCAGUUUGGGGAUCCAUGGCUGAAUGGUUAAGUCAUGGGUUUGAAUCUCUGUGAAGACUCGGGUUAAAUUUUUUUUAGAUUUUUGGGUGCCCCUGAGUCCACCUAACUCUAAUGGGUAGCUGACUUUUGUUUUGGAAAGUAAAGAUGGUUGGUUGUUGUGCUGGCCACAUGAUGCACUGGCCAAAGAAUCAAAUGACCUUAACAUCAUCUGCCCUAUAGAUUGUGACGUCUGAAAUGGGAUUUUUUUUCAAAAGGUGGUUGGUUGUUGUGCUGGGUACAUGACACCCUCGCUAACCAUGGGGCACAGAAACUGAUAAACUUUAUAUCAUCUGCCCCAUAGAUUGCAAGAUAUGUAAGGGAAAUUUUACUUUUUUAAAAUUAAAAUAAGAAUCUAUCAAAAGUAAACAUAAAAUAUGGUGCAUUCUCCUUAAAACUAAAACCUGGUGCGAAGGUUUAAAAUGUUGGCAAAAAAAAGCAACAUCAUAUAUUCUUAAUUCCCUUUGCAAAACUUACUGAGAAGAACAUGCAUGUUGUUCCCUCAUAAUUUUCUUGACAGAGGAAAUCUUGUUUAUAUUAGAUUUGAAUUAAGCAAAUUAAGAAAAAAAUUAUAAUCAUUAUUUCAAAUGGUUGUAUCUAAACCUUAUGAAUUAUUUUUCCGUUAUAAGUAUAUUGAGAUUAAUGGAUAAUCAUGAAAUUGUAAAAUAAUUGCUGCUAUCAUUCCAUUGACUAAAGAACCAUAAUUUUUUUUUUUUUAAAUUAAUUUCAAAAUGAUUUUUUUCAAGCAUAGAGUUCACAUAGAUCUGUGAAUUUUUUUUUUUAUUUGACUAAUGCUUCAAUUUUAUUGUAUCAUAUUAGUUGUUAAUUUUUAUUACCCAGAAUAUUUAAAAAAUGAGUACACUAUUUUCAUGUAAUAAUGUAACUUGGUAUUCACACAAUACUCAAAAUACACCAUAAUCUUUAGGCCAUACAGAUUUGUAUAAAUUAACUUGUUUAAAUACAUUGUAAAUGUAUACUGUUUGGAUAAGAAUAAAGUUUUUCUGUAGACAA